Numida meleagris (helmeted guineafowl) is the source of this 8681-nucleotide long non-coding RNA. RefSeq lists it as uncharacterized. Lineage: Eukaryota; Metazoa; Chordata; Aves; Galliformes; Numididae. The transcript is spliced from 2 exons. The record is from RefSeq and is a predicted model, not a curated record.
CCAGAGCCACGUCCAGUCUGGCCUUGAAUGCCUCCAGGGACCUGGAGGAAGGAGGAAGGGACCUGAAGGGCUGGGGCUGCUUCCACCAGUGAGAAAACAGCCCUGGCUGCCGGGAAUGGGGCUGUGCAGCUGCCAUCACAUCAGAAAGCAGAGGGUUUGCUGCGUGCCAGGGUAAACGGGACACGGCACCAAAACAAACGGCUCAGGCUCAUUUUUUCGUGAACAGUUUUGAUGUCAUCAAAGAGAAAAAAAAAAACAUGUAAAACCAGAAAAAUAUCCACUUUUGACUUUGAUAAACAGUCUGUUCCCACGGGCAGGGAGUUUGUGCUUCUGCCUGCUCCAACCGCGAUGACGAUGAGGGACACAGACAAGAAGUGCCCCUUUAUAGGCUUAAAUGAGCACGGCUCAUACAGAGAAUUUGCUUUUACUCAUCUGGGAACGAGGCUUGUUCCACUGGCUCGUGCCUCCAUACAUCUCAGCCUCUAUCCAUCAGUCUCAUCACAUUGAUCACUGCAGAAAUAACGUUGGCACCACUGCCACAUACAGGCUUUAACAUCGUGCCCCACUCUUCCUAAAGUCACCUGGAUGCUUUUCAACGCAAACCAAUCUCUCCUGCUCCCCCGCACUCGGCGCAGCCCCACGGAUCACAGCCAGGAUCAGCAGCCGGGCGGCUUUGUGGCGGGGUCUCUGCGGGAACCCUCUUGCUUUUCAGGAGUUACACGAUUUCCCUUCACGCUGUGAGAAAUUAAGCCACUUUUACACUUUGCAGGGAUCCUCGCUCCCUCUCCGCCUCACGAGCGCUGCUGCACGCCUGCUGCCAGCAGCCUCCCACGUGCAUGCUCCAGUGCCAAGUGAGUUGGCACGCCCAUCUCUCUGAGCCGGGGGUUUGCUCUCUCUGCCCCCUCCCCAGCACCAUGCAGGCAGCUGGGGCUGGGCUGGAAACACCGAUGUUGACCAGCUGCCUGCCCAGAGAGCCAGUCCUGGUACUCAUACAGCACCGACAGCAUUUGCACAGUGCAGCACUGAGAGCACAACACGGCCAACCACGGGAGAAGUGCCCUAAAAGGUCGUUUCCCUUUGCCCUUCCAAAUUAUAUCCAUUACGAGCAGCUUUCCCCAUGGCAAUAGUUUUCCCAUUACUGCUCACUGACUGGAGCACAAUGAGAUGGGAUGCUGGUGCUGGGCUGCAGGGACGAGAUGCUCGAGGGCAGCCCUGCCUGCUCUGUGCAGGCCUCCAGCUCCUGUUUCUGCCCUGGUUUAUGAUGCCUGCAGCCCCAUGCCUGGACAUAGAGAUGUCCCACAUCCCAUGUCCCACAUUCCAUGCCCCAUGUUGCACGUCCCACAUCUCAUGCUGCUCGGAGCAAUGGGCUCUAAGCAAGCACACUGCAGCAGCACCGGCUGCAGGCUUCCUGCCCAGCACUCGCUGUCACUUCGCCUGCGCUUCUUGGCAAGUCAGCAGCAACACGGAUGACACUUGCCAUGCACACGUCAACAGUGUCACACGCAAUGACAUGCAAGCAGAGGACGAGCUGGAAAUGAGAAGCAGCCUGCGGUGCCAGAUGACAGAUCUCCGCAAAGUCGGGAGCUGGAGCUUGCUGCAGUAUUUGCACAGCUCACGUUUCUGCUCCCAAAAUACCACCUCCCAGCCAGAUGUCAACACAGAGAAAUGCUGCAAAGAAGCACAGCAAACAACACUGCUGUCCCUUCCCAGCUGCUGCUCUGCUUGGAACAAGGCUGUGCAGAGCCUGGGGCUCCGACCCUCCUGCACCACCAGCAUUCAGGUUCUGCAACUUUUCAUGACUUGCUGAGAUCCUCAGCAAAGCACCCAUCCUCCUUAGCCUUCCUUUCCCCAUCAGUGGACUGAAAAUAACAAUAUGCCUCAGCACUCCAAGGACAACUCUUCCAAAUCUCAGCUGAGGAUCUGAAAGUAAAGCCAUGAAAGCACAGCUCUGCGAGUCUACAGAUUUUAAAACGAGCUCACUGUAAUCUAGGACAGGUUUGGGGAUUCAGCAAAGUCUGUAUUUAAUGUAGACAGCAGUAAUAACACUGAAACCAUGCGUGCUCCCAGUGAGCUUCAGGACUCUCCUCCAAGGAGCUCCCAGCCCCAUUAAAUACCCUGGAGCAGCGUGCUCCCAGCAGAACUGAAACCCUCUGUCCCAUAAGCCAUGAUCAGGGCAGUUUGCAGAGCACCUGGCCCUGGGCUGAGCAGCAGCAGGUUCAGCACAAUGGCUUGGAGUCAUAAGCUCUGAGCAGGGGGAGAAAAGUCACCCAGCAGCACUGAGCAUUCCUGCAGAGCUGUGCCUCCUGACCUCCUUAAUCCCUGUUACACAAGCUGCGGGUGGCACAGCCCUGCAGCAGGUACUUGAGGCGCGUUGCUCGCGCUGUGCCCGGCUUUGCAAAGAGCGCAGUGAUGCAAUCACAAAGCUUCACGUGGGGAUUGAUGCUAACAGCACUGCUGCCAAGCACGCCUGGAGUUUGGCUUCUCCCAGCGUUGCAAAGGGAAAAGGGUCUUCUGCUCACUGUGCACUGCAACUGACAGACCUGCUCUUUGCUUCUCAUUACGUUAUUAAGACCAAGUUAAUGAAGACACGCAGACCUAAUGGUGCCCCACAUGCUUGCUCAGCAGCAGCAUCUGAAAGAUACCUGGAGCAGCAGUGCCAAGCACCUCCCAGAUCUGGAGAACAGGUCCUGAGGAUCUUGUAGUCAAAGGUUGUGCCCAUCACUCAUUAUUGGUCCCAUAGAAGUGAGCACUGAUACGGAACACCUCUUACAUACAGUUUCAACGGGUGAAACAGCACCCCUAAGAAGCAACCCACUCCCUCCCAGUAUGCUAACACACAUGGCAAAAAGCUUCUUGGUGUUCAUAGAGUCACAGAAUCAUUUGAUUUGGAAGGGACCCUUACAGGUCAUCUGGUCCCACUCCCCUGCAACAAACAGGGACACCCACAGCUCAACCAGGUCCCACCACCCCUCUGGGCAACCUGUGCCAGUGCCUCACUGCCCUUACUGGGGCACCCAGCAGAGUUAAGAUGCUUCAUGGAGCACACGGACAUGGCCUGGACACAGCAAGAGCCUGAGAUGCAGAGGCUCCGUGAUGUGCAGAAGAUGCUGAGAGAAGAGAGCACGAAGCGUGACCCCGGGCUGGGGAUGGGAAGUACCACGGGGCCCCAUGACUCAGAGCUAGAGCCGCAGAGUGCACCAAAAUGGGAAGGUGGGCAGGGGGUGCACGACAGCAAAGCAGGAAACAAAAACGAAAGCAGGAGCAGGAGAUUAUGCCUUUACUUAGCAAGGCAGCAUUUAAAAGUAUUUAUAUCAAUCAAGAGCUUAUUUAAACGAAGGGCUGAAAAUUGGGAUCAGCCAGAAAAGCACAACAAACCUGAGGCCAUUAGUCUGCAAGUGGGUCUCAAGGGCACUUGAGGGAAAGGAGUAAGUGGACCCCAACACUCUUGAGGAUCGCAUCUAUCCUGGGAGAAGAUUACGUGCUAAUAAAACACACUCAGCCAAUUCCCAUGGUUAAUCAUCUCUGUAAACGGAACGCUUCCGUUUGGCUGAAGGGAGAAGGCUUUUUUUCCCCUAUAUUCUCCCUUUUAAUAUACCAGAUAGAAAUAAUAAAUAACCCCGCGCAGUGCUUCCCUUCCGAAAAUACUUUGCUUAAUGACAAUGAUGGCUUCAGCCACUCAUCUUCUCACUACCUACAUUCCAGUCUAAAUUAGUCCUGUCCAGUGUCCAUAAAUAAAUCAGCUUAGGAAAGUCAGUGGAAAGAUAAUUCUGCCAGCAACCUUCAGAGGAUGCUGAUCCUGCUACGCUGCCAGCUCUGCUCGCGGGGGAAUUCUCCUGCAGCACACUCCAACUUUAAAAAGGCAUCCUACAAUUUAAAGGGAUGAUUUUCAUUUUCUGUUUAUUAAAAUAGUAUCCAGAAGGCAGUCAGACCAGACGCCCAAGCUUCUUACCAACUUAAGCUAAUGGAUUGUAUAAGCGCUAUUGCUUCCGAAUAGCAGGGCAGAGUGAAAGGUGUGAGAAGAUGGGCCAGGGACAAUGGUGAAUGGGUGGCAGGACUGGGGGCUGCACCACAAACAGCACUCUGUGACCCUCCAUGCGCCCGAGCCCUGAUUUACUGAUGGUUGUUAUGCCAACUUAUCCCACUUCUACUGCUCCUAUGAAAGUCUGUAAAACCGUAAGCCAAAAACAACAGUCCCAAAGCUCAGUGCAAAGAAGAAAAAGGGAAAGCCAAGGAAAUAUUACAGCAGCCAGGCUCUACAUGAUCUGGUCUGAUGCUGAAAGCAGCACACAGGCGGGGGGGGGUGGCUGGAAGAAUGAACAUCUCUGGGACAUGGGUGCCAGUCCCAGCGGGUGGCUGAGGAUGCUGCAGGCACUGCCAGGCUGCCCAGCAGCAGCACAGCGUGGGCAGCGCUCCCACCCGACUCCCACCCCAGGCAACUCAAGAUUUGGCAACUGUCUUUGCAAACCCACAAACAUGUAACAGAGAGGAUCAAGAUCAGCCCAGGGGUGCAAAGGUGGGGAAUGCAAACCCUCAGCUGUGUUCCCCUCUGCUGUGAGGCCAGCCUGGUGCCAGCACCUUACCAAGCACCUUUCUAGCAAAAAAACCCUUCCGCAGGCAACAGACCACAGAGCCCUGCCCGGUACAUCUACAUGGCACUGAGCAGCCCCCUGUAACUGCACGGUUUGCCACUGCUGUUGCUGGGCUGCACGGCUGUGUGCCUUCAGUCCCAGCCCUGCGGUCCCCAGCUGAUCGAAAUCUGCACUGCAACUGAGGACUGCGGUAUUUUUCCUUUUAGCCUCCCUCCUGCUUGGUAUAAACCAAUCCUUCAGUAAAGCACUUGUUCUAAACACCUGGGCACAGUUAAAUGCAUGGCUCAGCGCUGAAGCUCCUGCCUGGCUUCUUGCUGCUGUUUCAAGGGAACAAAGCAGCUGGAUUUAGCCCCGGGAGGAUGCACCAAGCUCCUGGAACAGCAGCUCUGUGCCCAGCAGUCCCCCCCCUUCACGACUGCACAAACACCAGUGGCUAUUGCUCAGCACAGCCACAGUCCCUUUGUGCUGCCCGGGCUGCUCAGGAAGGGUUAACACCGCCUGCAGCAUCAGCCUGCCCUCUGGUAUGGCAGCCAGUGAGCGCGGCUGCGGGUGACGUAAUGCCCGGCUGGCUGCGGGAUGCGCAUCGUGUCCUGCAUCCCGUCCUGCACCAUGUCCCGCAUCCCAUCCUGCAUCCUGUCCUGCUGGGGGGGCAGCCAGGGACCCCACUGUGCCAGGCACCUCAGUGUUCCCAGCCAGGCAGGGGCCAGCCCCUGGUUUUCCCAGCUGAAUUCCCAGCGCUCUCCGAGCAGAGGUUGCUGUAAAUGAGCAUUACCAGCUCUGAAAGCAUUUGCAAGUUUACAGUGAUUGCCACCGCGCAGCUCUGCGGGUUCACCCCCGCAGCCUCUCCUCUUGCAGCUGCCAGCACAGCGCAUGUUCUGGCUGCAAAAAUCCUUGUUUUGGCUCUGUGGCCGUGGCCAUGUUCGGGCUGCUCAGGUUUGCAAAUCCCCCUCUGAAAUCCCCAUUUAGUUACAAACGUCAGGGACACGGCUGGGUGGCCCCUCGGAUGCAGGCUCACUGCAUGCAGGUUCUAUAACUUGCCCUGGAGUCUCCACACCACAAUUAACAGUGACCACCAGGACAAUGCUCCCUUUUGCCUGCAGCAUCUCAAAUCUCCUCUGGUAGCAGCCUGCGAGCAGAGUAGGUCCUUCCAGCCCUCUGGAGUCACGCUGCCCUCUAAGGAGAAAGCGACUCACUCCUCUUUGAUGUGUUAAAAGAGGAAAACAAGUGAGCAGGAGGCACCAAACAGCCAUCUUGUUAAGCCCAGACAGCUCUUCCAAUUUCGUUUUGGAGCUGUUUAUCACCUCAUAAAAGCCCGAUACCCAGCAGACAAGAUGAAGACCAGAAAGCUGAUGUUCCCGUCUCUCUCACGGUUAUAUUCCAAGCUAAAUCUCCCUGAGAUUCAGCUCAACAGAUGAAUUAUUCAGGUCUCAGCUCUGAUUCCAGCAACAGAGUGCAGCUGUUUUUCUGCUUGACCAGAGCGUGGCAGCGUCUGGAUCGGGAGCAAAGUAACACAGCUCAGGGCUGCUACCAGACAAGGCAGGGAGACUUAUAUGUAUGUUUGCUGGAGAUAAAAAGACAAAAAAUAUUGCUUCUUCAUGCCACUUCAGCCAAGAUACUAACAUUAAAGCAUCUGGAAUUAAUUAUCUCAGGCAGACAAUGCUUCCACAAUUAUUUCGAUAAUACAAACAGCACAACUUUUAUUUCUAGCCACCUACUGAUGGGGAGCAGAGGAAGAUGCCGUGAGUGACAGCAGCAGUCUUGCAUCUGCUGUUCUGCAAGCAGGAGUUUCCCAGUCCCAAAUCCCAAACCCACCCCACGUGACCACCAAGGGAGUGCAGCUGAAGCUCGGACCAAAGCUGGGGCACAGGGAUGAGCGUCCCCAUGGUUAGCACGGUGUGGGCACACAGGUCUCCUCUGUGCACAAACCCACUCAAGUGGAAGCAAGGCUUUGAGCAAUCUGAAUGGGCAGCAGCCAGACUCUGCAAUGCACUCUGAAUCACUGCUUUAACACUGAACCCUGGAACACAGGAGGAUGGUUCCAGCACUGUGACACCAGAGGCAGCGGGUGGCCAGGAGGAAACUUCUGCCUUCCCACCACACUGCUGCGAAGCAACACGUGCCUCAGUGCGUCUCCAGAUCUUCUUUGAAUCCACUGCAAAAACUCCAGCCUACUACCAGCACUCCCUCAGCUCAGCCAGGUGCCAGGGGCACGGUCCUGCAGGCUUAGCUCAGCUCACACGAGUGCAGCUCUCACCUUGGUACCAUGGGAUUACCAACAGCAGCACCAGGCACAGAGCAGCUGAUCCCAUCGUCACCGCUGCUGGACCGUCCCAGCCCUCUCACCAUUCUGAGGGGCACUUGAGAGCUUCUCAUCUUAUUCAGCAGGGAUGCACAGUGCACUAAUCCACAACGAGGGGAUGUAAUUACUGCAGCAGAGCUCAGACCGGCUUCUGGGUGGGAAAGGGAUGAAGGAGAAGAUGGAGACGGGAGGUGAUGGAGUGAGAUGCAGAGGCUACAUGGAGCACCCUAUGGGAGGUGGAAAUCAGCCUGCUCCUUCCAUACAUCUGCUGCUGGGAUAUGCCAGCAAAAACCACAGACAUCCACAGGGAGAAUGAGCAAACGUUUUGAACAGAGGUCCAAGUGGCUCAGCACUAGGUAAGAACGUGCUGGAUUAACACAUUUCCCAUAGCAAGCUAAUAAAGGUGAGGACUCACUGAAAGCAGACUCAAGGAUUUGUCAAGCAGGCUGUAAAGCAGAAAUGAUUAGAACUAACAGAGGAAGGCAAUCAUGCUCAUUCCCCCUCCAAGCCCUGGAUACGAAACCAGCACUGCGCCCCAGCCCCUGCUGAUGCUCCUGUGCUUUUCUCCCAUGGGGGUACCCCAAAACCUGAUGUCUCCACUGGGGCUGCAGCUCCAGAGAGAGGAACCCGCUCACAUAGACCUGAUGGAGUCCUGAGCUCACACAAUUUCACCACAAGCUGGAAGUGGGUGGGAAAAACAAACAAACAACAACAACAAAAAAAACCCAGGCAUCUCAUGUUAAAACAACAGCGCAGCUCCAAGAGAUACACAGACUGCUGCAGAAUCUUGCCUGCCCCUUCUGCAGCAAAGCCCGAGGGAAGCUGCCGAUGAGUCAACAGGCAGCAGGCAGCCGGCUGCAGGAGGGAGGGAGGGAGGGAAGGAUGGGAGGAAGGAGGGAAGGAAGCACAGCCCCGGCUGGGACGCAGUGUGCUGGCUCCACACUCCAACAGAACUGCGGGAGAUGCUGGGGCACCUCCUGGCUUCAACACCUGGCAGCCCCACACCUGGCCCAGGGCUCCCACGGCAGCACCACGCAGCGCAGCCAGAGCUCGGCUCCACCUGCAGCUGUGCUCCUGGAAGAGAUGGGACAGAGGGAACCGAAGGGGACGGUCACAUCGCUGCCCAGACGGUGUGGCAGCCGUUCACCCCCGCCAGCCGACCCCCCACCACGGCUUGUGCCUUCCUGUUGCCACGGCACUUUCUGUUUUCUGUUUGAACAGGGCCACAGCAACGAUGCAAGGAGAGAUCUGCGACGCCAAGAAUAUCUGGGAACCCUGCCAGCAAGAAGCAGCCUUCCUGCUCGUCCUCCCGCUGUGUGCACAUUCACAGGAAGCGGAGUAUACAGCACAUACUGAUGGAGCUUAAUGCGAGCUCCCAGAGCCGCCUCGAGCUUUUAGAGCCAAGCUUUGCCCUUCAGGCUGUGGGCAAUUCCCAAGCAAGCUGCUGCAUAAAAUGAACCCUGCUUUUAAGCAGUGAUGACUCAGAAUUGUGGAGAGGAAGCACGUGAUGUCCCGCACUGCCCAGCGGCCCUGCUGUGCAGGCAGCACCCGCGUGGCUGGUGGCAUCCAGCCCUGGGCACCAGAGUGCAGUGACACGAGGCCAAAGGAUGCUCUUCCUCUGUGGUUCACACCAGUCUGCAAAGGACCCCGUGUUAAGGUGGCUCUCGGCGAAGGCAUUUCCAGGCAGCUGCUUUCUGAGGAAAGCAUGCCUUAAGAGAAAGCAUUUUCCUCCUGCUUCACCCACAGCUUUGACAUUUUAGAGCUCCAGCAAAAUAAAACGUUUCAAAAUCUCA